UUCGGAUUGUAGUCUGCAACNCGACUACAUGAAGCUGGAAUCGCUAGUAAUCGCGAAUCAGAAUGUCGCGGUGAAUACGUUCCCGGGUCUUGUACACACCGCCCGUCACACCAUGGGAGUUGGGAAUGCCCGAAGCCGGUGACCUAACCGAAAGGGAGGAGCCGUCGAAGGCAGGCUUGAUAACUGGGGUGAAGUCGUAACAAGGUACC
Molecule: ribosomal RNA, 209 nt
Filed under: uncultured bacterium
Lineage: Bacteria
Description: partial 16S ribosomal RNA
Rfam family: Bacterial small subunit ribosomal RNA
Source: RNAcentral